Small nuclear RNA from Colobus angolensis palliatus, 107 nucleotides. The record is from Ensembl. Lineage: Eukaryota; Metazoa; Chordata; Mammalia; Primates; Cercopithecidae.
GUGCUCCCUUUGGCAGCACAUAUACUAAAAUUUGAAGAUUAUGGAGAAGAUUAGCAUGGCCCUUGCUCAAGGAUGCGACACAAAUUCAUGAAGCAUUCCAUUGGGGA